Long non-coding RNA from Talpa occidentalis (Iberian mole), 1056 nucleotides. RefSeq lists it as uncharacterized. The transcript is spliced from 3 exons. NCBI's taxonomy places the organism in Eukaryota, Metazoa, Chordata, Mammalia, Eulipotyphla, Talpidae. The record is from RefSeq and is a predicted model, not a curated record.
CACACCUGCGGCCAGGGGCGCUGUGGGGACCCGCCACGGCCGUGAGCCAAGGGCGCUGGAUCAUAACAGACUCGGCGCCCCCAGAGCAAGGCGGGGACCCCGCGGAGACCCGCCAACAGCCAAGGGCAGCCGGGAGCGCGGGAAGCACCGGCGGGUGCGGCUGCCCAGGUCCCCGCCCGCGCCCUGGGGCUGUGGGGAGACGCGGAGCCGGCGCUGGGAUUCGUCCAUUCAGUCUCGUUGGUGCAGGAACCCCUGACAUAACAGUUUGCUGGAGCUGGCUCCCAGCAAGUAUCACCUGGAACAGGGACCUGUAAGGUACUUCCAGAGCAGGCUCUGCGGUUCCAGAUGUUACUUACUCAAGAUGUUCCACCGAAAGGUGAACUUUUACCACCAGAAAUUGUUGAAAGAGUAAGUAAAUGGGUAUGGGCUGAUGGGACCCCAGGACAUGCGAAACAUGCAGAGCCUGUAAAGAUAGAAGUGAUAGAGGAGAGCAAAACCCCAAGGAGGAAGCAAUACCCCUUAAAGGAGGAGGCAUUGUGGGAAACUGAGCCAGUAUUGAAAAGGUUCCUUCAAUCUGGACUCAUUCGGCCCUGCUGCUAACCAUACAACACCGUACAACACCAUACAAUUCUGCCAGUGAAGAAACCCCAUACAGGCGAGUACCAUUUUGUCCAAGAUUUAAGGGCCAUUAAUGACAUUGUUCAGGAUUUACAUCCCACCGUGCCUAAUCCCUACACCUUAUUAACUGCCAUACCUGGUGACUUCGGGUGGUUUUCAGUAUUAGACCUUAAGGAUGCCUUUUUCUGUAUCCCAAUAGAUGCCCAGGAUCAACUGCUUUUUGCCUUUGAGUGGCAAGACCCUAAGAGCACUCUCCAGUAUUGCUGGACUGUGCUUCCACAGGGGUUUAAGAACUCCCCAACUAUUUUUGGGGAAAUACUGGCCAGCCAGGGAUCUCAGGAAGGUUCAAUUAAACCAGGGCAUCAAAGUCCCCAGCAACCGGCGACAGUUGCGCAAAUUUUUGGGUAUGGCUGGGUUUUGCAGGAUUUGGAUUCCUAU